RNAcentral lists this ribosomal RNA (478 nucleotides) under uncultured bacterium. RNAcentral describes it as "partial 16S ribosomal RNA". It matches the Rfam family "Bacterial small subunit ribosomal RNA", at positions 28 to 523 of the family's 1533-position model. The record is from RNAcentral.
GACGAACGCUGGCGGCGUGCUUAACACAUGCAAGUCGAACGGUAAGGCCCUUCGGGGUACACGAGUGGCGAACGGGUGAGUAACACGUGGGUGAUCUGCCCUGCACUUCGGGAUAAGCCUGGGAAACUGGGUCUAAUACCGGAUAGGACCCUGGGAUGCAUGUCCUGGGGUGGCAAGCUUUUGCGGUGUGGGAUGGGCCCGCGGCCUAUGAGCUUGUUGGUGGGGUGAUGGCCUACCAAGGCGACGACGGGUAGCCGGCCUGAGAGGGUGACCGGCCACACUGGGACUGAGAUACGGCCCAGACUCCUACGGGAGGCAGCAGUGGGGAAUAUUGCACAAUGGGCGCAAGCCUGAUGCAGCGACGCCGCGUGAGGGAUGACGGCCUUCGGGUUGUAAACCUCUUUCAGCACCGACGAAGCGCAAGUGACGGUAGGUGCAGAAGAAGGACCGGCCAACUACGUGCCAGCCGCCGCAGUAA